RNAcentral lists this unclassified non-coding RNA (343 nucleotides) under soil metagenome. RNAcentral describes it as "partial contains 5.8S ribosomal RNA, internal transcribed spacer 2, and large subunit ribosomal RNA". The stretch from base 1 to 120 matches the Rfam family "5.8S ribosomal RNA", at positions 35 to 154 of the family's 154-position model. The record is from RNAcentral.
GAUGAAGAACGUAGCGAAAUGCGAUAAGUAAUGUGAAUUGCAGAAUUCAGUGAAUCAUCGAAUCUUUGAACGCACAUUGCGCCCGCCAGCAUUCUGGCGGGCAUGCCUGUUCGAGCGUCAUUUCAACCCUCGAGCCCCCCCGGGGGCCUCGGUGUUGGGGGACGGCACACCAGCCGCCCCCGAAAUGCAGUGGCGACCCCGCCGCAGUCUCCCCUGCGUAGUAGCACACACCUCGCACCGGAGCGCGGAGGCGGUCACGCCGUAAAACGCCCAACUUUCUUAGAGUUGACCUCGGAUCAGGUAGGAAUACCCGCUGAACUUAAGCAUAUCAAUAAGCGGAGGA